Molecule: long non-coding RNA, 1390 nt
Filed under: Cyanistes caeruleus (blue tit)
Lineage: Eukaryota; Metazoa; Chordata; Aves; Passeriformes; Paridae
Description: lncRNA (ENSCCEG00000021426.1)
Source: RNAcentral
AAGAAGGCAGAACAAAAGAAAUGGAUGUAACAGAGGGAAAGAUAAUUUGAGUUAUUUUUAAAUGAAAGAAAUGUCAGAAGGUGGCUUUAUGCUGGUCACACCUGAGAUAGGGUGUCUGUCUUCCAGAAUGGCUGCUUCUCUGGGUAUGAGACAUCCCAAGCCAGACACUUGGACUGCUUCAUACAGACAGUGGGCAGAGCACUGGCUCAGAAAGUGUAUUACCAAAGCACACUGGAAGAUUACGGGGACAUGUGUGAACCUUGCAGAUACACUGAGGAAGGAGAAUUAGAGCCCAGUAACUCCCCCUGCUCCAUCUCCAUUAGCAGUGAGGACCUGCCUGAGGAUUUCUUGAACACUCUGGGACCAAUGUUUUGUGCUCUGGAAGAGAUCUGUCAGAAGUGAUCUCCGGCAGCCAAAAACCUGCUGUGUCUCCAGGGUCCACUGUGCAGGGGUGAGGGGGUGAUUUUGGCAUAUUUGUGCACACUGACACAAGUAAAAGAUCUGAUAUCAAGGAUCCUCAUUUUGAUAUGUAAAGUUAAAAAAAACCCAACAAACUAGAUCAACUAGGCUUGAAAUUCCAGACCGAGUUCCAUAUGGAAAUAAGUCAGUUUUGAAGAGAGAAGGAAAUUACCUGCUAGACCAGUGUAUAGUCCUUUCUCCAGUAAGUAGCCUCUUUAAAUCCAAGAUUAAGUUUAGUACAGUGCCAUAUUUUAUAUCCUUAUAUAUGACAAUGAAACAUCGAAGAGAAAGUUCAUUUCUCCUCCGAGUUCAUGCCCUUGGACAGCUCUGCACCAUCCCUCCUUUAGCAUGAAAGAGGCACUUUUGGUGUUCGUGUGUGUGCUGGCAUCUGCUGGCUGUUGGUAUCAUGGCACUGCUGUAAAUAAUACCCUAAAUGCUAAGAAAUUGUUGUCAGACAAGGUUAUUCCUUUCAAUGAAAUAACUUCCUGCUCUAAAUUAGCCAGAAGUGCCUCUGAGGGGGAAACUCGUGGGUUUCCUCAAGCACUGCUGAUAAAACAGAUGAAAUGAUAAAAAAGGGAUGGUAUCAAAUUUCCCUAUCAGGAAACCACAGAUGUGUUAUUUUUAAAUUUUGAGGUUAGGACAUGUCUGACAUUGAACUCUGCUCAGUUAUGGCACGAAGGCUGUUGGUCUUACAAUGCAGAAAUGAGGGAAGAACAGCUCAGGAGAUUGUGUUCUGCCAUUAGGUAAGUUAUACAUGCAGGAAGUGGUGGAAUUAGUUACAAAUCUUACUCCUGUUCUAUUACAGUUUUGUGCUGAAAGAAAAAUGCUUUGCCCAAGGCAAGUACUAAGUCUGGGAGUUAAGACAUUGUUUUUGUGUUUCAAAGUUUACUUAAACAAUAAAUUAUGCUUUUGCUCAGAUAUUAUUAAUAUU